Molecule: ribosomal RNA, 2654 nt
Filed under: Escherichia coli
Lineage: Bacteria; Pseudomonadati; Pseudomonadota; Gammaproteobacteria; Enterobacterales; Enterobacteriaceae
Description: partial 23S ribosomal RNA
Rfam family: Bacterial large subunit ribosomal RNA
Source: RNAcentral
GGGUUGUGAGGUUAAGCGACUAAGCGUACACGGUGGAUGCCCUGGCAGUCAGAGGCGAUGAAGGACGUGCUAAUCUGCGAUAAGCGUCGGUAAGGUGAUAUGAACCGUUAUAACCGGCGAUUUCCGAAUGGGGAAACCCAGUGUGAUUCGUCACACUAUCAUUAACUGAAUCCAUAGGUUAAUGAGGCGAACCGGGGGAACUGAAACAUCUAAGUACCCCGAGGAAAAGAAAUCAACCGAGAUUCCCCCAGUAGCGGCGAGCGAACGGGGAGCAGCCCAGAGCCUGAAUCAGUGUGUGUGUUAGUGGAAGCGUCUGGAAAGGCGCGCGAUACAGGGUGACAGCCCCGUACACAAAAAUGCACAUGCUGUGAGCUCGAUGAGUAGGGCGGGACACGUGGUAUCCUGUCUGAAUAUGGGGGGACCAUCCUCCAAGGCUAAAUACUCCUGACUGACCGAUAGUGAACCAGUACCGUGAGGGAAAGGCGAAAAGAACCCCGGCGAGGGGAGUGAAAAAGAACCUGAAACCGUGUACGUACAAGCAGUGGGAGCACGCUUAGGCGUGUGACUGCGUACCUUUUGUAUAAUGGGUCAGCGACUUAUAUUCUGUAGCAAGGUUAACCGAAUAGGGGAGCCGAAGGGAAACCGAGUCUUAACUGGGCGUUAAGUUGCAGGGUAUAGACCCGAAACCCGGUGAUCUAGCCAUGGGCAGGUUGAAGGUUGGGUAACACUAACUGGAGGACCGAACCGACUAAUGUUGAAAAAUUAGCGGAUGACUUGUGGCUGGGGGUGAAAGGCCAAUCAAACCGGGAGAUAGCUGGUUCUCCCCGAAAGCUAUUUAGGUAGCGCCUCGUGAAUUCAUCUCCGGGGGUAGAGCACUGUUUCGGCAAGGGGGUCAUCCCGACUUACCAACCCGAUGCAAACUGCGAAUACCGGAGAAUGUUAUCACGGGAGACACACGGCGGGUGCUAACGUCCGUCGUGAAGAGGGAAACAACCCAGACCGCCAGCUAAGGUCCCAAAGUCAUGGUUAAGUGGGAAACGAUGUGGGAAGGCCCAGACAGCCAGGAUGUUGGCUUAGAAGCAGCCAUCAUUUAAAGAAAGCGUAAUAGCUCACUGGUCGAGUCGGCCUGCGCGGAAGAUGUAACGGGGCUAAACCAUGCACCGAAGCUGCGGCAGCGACGCUGAUGCGUUGUUGGGUAGGGGAGCGUUCUGUAAGCCUGUGAAGGUGUGCUGUGAGGCAUGCUGGAGGUAUCAGAAGUGCGAAUGCUGACAUAAGUAACGAUAAAGCGGGUGAAAAGCCCGCUCGCCGGAAGACCAAGGGUUCCUGUCCAACGUUAAUCGGGGCAGGGUGAGUCGACCCCUAAGGCGAGGCCGAAAGGCGUAGUCGAUGGGAAACAGGUUAAUAUUCCUGUACUUGGUGUUACUGCGAAGGGGGGACGGAGAAGGCUAUGUUGGCCGGGCGACGGUUGUCCCGGUUUAAGCGUGUAGGCUGGUUUUCCAGGCAAAUCCGGAAAAUCAAGGCUGAGGCGUGAUGACGAGGCACUACGGUGCUGAAGCAACAAAUGCCCUGCUUCCAGGAAAAGCCUCUAAGCAUCAGGUAACAUCAAAUCGUACCCCAAACCGACACAGGUGGUCAGGUAGAGAAUACCAAGGCGCUUGAGAGAACUCGGGUGAAGGAACUAGGCAAAAUGGUGCCGUAACUUCGGGAGAAGGCACGCUGAUAUGUAGGUGAAGUCCCUCGCGGAUGGAGCUGAAAUCAGUCGAAGAUACCAGCUGGCUGCAACUGUUUAUUAAAAACACAGCACUGUGCAAACACGAAAGUGGACGUAUACGGUGUGACGCCUGCCCGGUGCCGGAAGGUUAAUUGAUGGGGUCAGCGCAAGCGAAGCUCUUGAUCGAAGCCCCGGUAAACGGCGGCCGUAACUAUAACGGUCCUAAGGUAGCGAAAUUCCUUGUCGGGUAAGUUCCGACCUGCACGAAUGGCGUAAUGAUGGCCAGGCUGUCUCCACCCGAGACUCAGUGAAAUUGAACUCGCUGUGAAGAUGCAGUGUACCCGCGGCAAGACGGAAAGACCCCGUGAACCUUUACUAUAGCUUGACACUGAACAUUGAGCCUUGAUGUGUAGGAUAGGUGGGAGGCUUUGAAGUGUGGACGCCAGUCUGCAUGGAGCCGGCCUUGAAAUACCACCCUUUAAUGUUUGAUGUUCUAACGUUGACCCGUGAUCCGGGUUGCGGACAGUGUCUGGUGGGUAGUUUGACUGGGGCGGUCUCCUCCUAAAGAGUAACGGAGGAGCACGAAGGUUGGCUAAUCCUGGUCGGACAUCAGGAGGUUAGUGCAAUGGCAUAAGCCAGCUUGACUGCGAGCGUGACGGCGCGAGCAGGUGCGAAAGCAGGUCAUAGUGAUCCGGUGGUUCUGAAUGGAAGGGCCAUCGCUCAACGGAUAAAAGGUACUCCGGGGAUAACAGGCUGAUACCGCCCAAGAGUUCAUAUCGACGGCGGUGUUUGGCACCUCGAUGUCGGCUCAUCACAUCCUGGGGCUGAAGUAGGUCCCAAGGGUAUGGCUGUUCGCCAUUUAAAGUGGUACGCGAGCUGGGUUUAGAACGUCGUGAGACAGUUCGGUCCCUAUCUGCCGUGGGCGCUGGAGAACUGAGGGGGG